RNAcentral lists this ribosomal RNA (488 nucleotides) under uncultured bacterium. RNAcentral's name for it is "partial 16S ribosomal RNA". It matches the Rfam family "Bacterial small subunit ribosomal RNA", at positions 30 to 507 of the family's 1533-position model. The record is from RNAcentral.
UGAACGCUGGCGGCAGGCCUACCACAUGCACGUCGAACGGUAACAGGAAGCAGCUUGCUGCUUUGCUGACGAGUGGCGGACGGGUGAGUAAUGUCUGGGAAACUGCCUGAUGGAGGGGGAUAACUACUGGAAACGGUAGCUAAUACCGCAUAAUGUCGCAAGACCAAAGAGGGGGACCUUCGGGCCUCUUGCCAUCGGAUGUGCCCAGAUGGGAUUAGCUAGUAGGUGGGGUAAAGGCUCACCUAGGCGACGAUCCCUAGCUGGUCUGAGAGGAUGACCAGCCACACUGGAACUGAGACACGGUCCAGACUCCUACGGGAGGCAGCAGUGGGGAAUAUUGCUCAAUGGGCGCAAGCCUGAUGCAGCCAUGCCGCGUGUAUGAAGAAGGCCUUCGGGUUGUAAAGUACUUUCAGCGGGGAGGAAGGGAGUAAAGUUAAUACCUUUGCUCAUUGACGUUACCCGCAGAAGAAGCACCGGCUAACUCCGUG